UACGUAGGGUCCAAGCGUUAUCCGGAAUUACUGGGCGUAAAGAGUUGCGUAGGUGGCAUGGAAAGCGAAUAGUGAAAGCGUGUGGCUCAACCAUACAUCCAUUAUUUGAACUCCCAAGCUAGAAGAUGAGAGAGGUAGAUGGAAUUCCUAAUGUAGGGGUAAUAUCCGUAGAUAUUAGGAGGAACACCGAUGGCGUAGGCAGUCUACUGGCUCAUUCUUGACACUAAGGCACGAAAGCGUGGGGAGCAAA
Molecule: ribosomal RNA, 250 nt
Filed under: uncultured bacterium
Lineage: Bacteria
Description: partial 16S ribosomal RNA
Rfam family: Bacterial small subunit ribosomal RNA
Source: RNAcentral